Molecule: ribosomal RNA, 140 nt
Filed under: uncultured eukaryote
Lineage: Eukaryota
Description: partial 18S ribosomal RNA
Rfam family: Eukaryotic small subunit ribosomal RNA
Source: RNAcentral
UGGUGGAGUGAUUUGUCUGGUUAAUUCCGUUAACGAACGAGACCUCGACCUGCUAAAUAGUUGAUCUUACUUUCGGGUAAUUUUUAACUUCUUAGAGGGACUAUCGGAUAACUAGCCGGAGGAAGUUCGAGGCAAUAACA